GACGAACGCUGGCGGCGUGCUUAACACAUGCAAGUCGAACGGAAAGGCCCUGCUUGCAGGGUGCUCGAGUGGCGAACGGGUGAGUAACACGUGGGUGAUCUGCCCCUUACUUUGGGAUAAGCCUGGGAAACUGGGUCUAAUACUGGAUAGGACCAUGCUGUAGGUGGUGUGGUCGAAAGAUUAGUUUCGGUAAGGGAUGAGCUCGCGGCCUAUCAGCUUGUUGGUGGGGUAAUGGCCUACCAAGGCGUCGACGGGUAGCCGGCCUGAGAGGGUGGACGGCCACAUUGGGACUGAGAUACGGCCCAGACUCCUACGGGAGGCAGCAGUGGGGAAUAUUGCACAAUGGGCGCAAGCCUGAUGCAGCGACGCCGCGUGGGGGAUGACGGCCUUCGGGUUGUAAACUCCUUUCAGCCAUGACGAAGCCCUUGUGGUGACGGUAGUGGUAGAAGAAGCACCGGCUAACUACGUG
Molecule: ribosomal RNA, 469 nt
Filed under: uncultured bacterium
Lineage: Bacteria
Description: partial 16S ribosomal RNA
Rfam family: Bacterial small subunit ribosomal RNA
Source: RNAcentral